CCUACGGGAGGCAGCAGUGGGGAAUAUUGCACAAUGGGGGAAACCCUGAAGCAGCGACGCCGCGUGAGUGAAGAAGGAAUUCGGGAUGUAAAGCUCUAUCAGCAGGGAAGAAAAUGACGGUACCUGAGUAAGAAGGCACGGCGAACGACGGGCCAGCCGCCGCGGGAAUACGGAGGGGGCAAGCGUUAUCCGGAGUUACUGGGGGGAAAGGGGGCGUAGACGGCAGUGCAAGUCUGGCGGGAAAGGCGGGGGCUCAACCCCCGGACUGCCCUUGAAACUGUCCGGCUGGAGGGCAGGAGGGUUAAGUGGCAUUCCUAGUGUAGCGGUGCCAUGCGUAGCUAUUAGGCGGAACUCCAGUGGCGAAGGCGGCUUACUGGACUGUACCUGCCGUUGCGGCUCGAAAGCGUGGGGAGCAAACAGGAUUAGAUCCCCGAGUAGUC
Molecule: ribosomal RNA, 440 nt
Filed under: uncultured bacterium
Lineage: Bacteria
Description: partial 16S ribosomal RNA
Rfam family: Bacterial small subunit ribosomal RNA
Source: RNAcentral